This 456-nucleotide ribosomal RNA is filed under the name uncultured bacterium. Its description in RNAcentral is "bacterial SSU rRNA". It matches the Rfam family "Bacterial small subunit ribosomal RNA", at positions 355 to 793 of the family's 1533-position model. The record is from RNAcentral.
UGGGGAAUAGUUGCACAAUGGGGGAAACCCUGACUGCAGCCAUGCCGCGUGUGUGAAGAAGGCCUUCGGGUUGUAAAGCACGUUUCAGUACGGGAGGAAGGUUAGUGUAGUUAACACCUGCACUUAUUUGACGUUACCUACAGAAGAAGCACCGGCUAACUCCGUGCCAGCAGCCGCGGUAAUACGGAGGGUGCGAGCGUUAAUCGGAAUUACUGGGCGUAAAGCGCAUGCAGGCGGCCUCGUUAAGUCAGAUGUGAAAGCCCGGGGCUUAACCUCGGAAUUGCAUUUGAAACUGGCAGGCUAGAGUCUUGUAGAGGGGGGUAGGAAUUUCAGGUGUAGCGGUGAAAUGCGUAGAGAUCUGAAGGAAUACCAGUGGCGAAGGCGGCCCCCUGGACAAAGACUGACGCUCAGAUGCGAAAGCGUGGGGAGCCAAACAGGAUUAGAUACCCCUGGUAG